RNAcentral lists this ribosomal RNA (468 nucleotides) under uncultured bacterium. Its description in RNAcentral is "bacterial SSU rRNA". It matches the Rfam family "Bacterial small subunit ribosomal RNA", at positions 330 to 795 of the family's 1533-position model. The record is from RNAcentral.
GCCAGACUCCUACGGGAGGCAGCAGUGAGGAAUAUUGGUCAAUGGCCGAGAGGCUGAACCAGCCAAGUCGCGUGAGGGAAGGCGGCCCUACGGGUUGUAAACCUCUUUUGCCGGGGAGCAACGGGGUCCUUGCGAGGGCCCGAUGAGAGUACCCGGAGAAAAAGCAUCGGCUAACUCCGUGCCAGCAGCCGCGGUAAUACGGAGGAUGCGAGCGUUAUCCGGAUUUAUUGGGUUUAAAGGGUGCGUAGGCGGGCUGUUAAGUCAGCGGUAAAAUGUCGGGGCUCAACCCCGGCCUGCCGUUGAAACUGGCGGCCUCGAGUGGGAGAGAAGUAUGCGGAAUGCGUGGUGUAGCGGUGAAAUGCAUAGAUAUCACGCAGAACUCCGAUUGCGAAGGCAGCAUACCGGCGCCCGACUGACGCUGAGGCACGAAAGCGUGGGUAUCGAACAGGAUUAGAUACCCCAGUACGC